This 253-nucleotide ribosomal RNA is filed under the name uncultured bacterium. RNAcentral describes it as "partial 16S ribosomal RNA". It matches the Rfam family "Bacterial small subunit ribosomal RNA", at positions 524 to 776 of the family's 1533-position model. The record is from RNAcentral.
UACGGGGGGGGCAAGCGUUGUUCGGAAUUAUUGGGCGUAAAGAGCUCGUAGGCGGUUUGUCGCGUCUGCCGUGAAAAUCCGGGGCUCAACCCCGGACUUGCGGUGGGUACGGGCAGACUAGAGUGUGGUAGGGGAGACUGGAAUUCCUGGUGUAGCGGUGAAAUGCGCAGAUAUCAGGAGGAACACCGAUGGCGAAGGCAGGUCUCUGGGCCACUACUGACGCUGAGAAGCGAAAGCGUGGGGAGCGAACAGG